This 1053-nucleotide ribosomal RNA is filed under the name Triticum aestivum (bread wheat). RNAcentral's name for it is "partial small subunit ribosomal RNA". Lineage: Eukaryota; Viridiplantae; Streptophyta; Magnoliopsida; Poales; Poaceae. The record is from RNAcentral.
AUGGACGGCGACCUGACGGAGGGGCUCCUCUGCAAGAACUCCGGCAAGCGCCCGGAGUCCCCCCCUCCGCUGUCGCCGUCUUCGGGGGACAUUUUCAAGGACCCUACCGACUCCAGCGACUCCAGCACCAGCGGGGCCGCGACGAACCGGGCGCCCGUCCGCGACGACUGCAAGAACCACCAAGAAGUGGUGGUGGCGUCCUCUGCGGCCAGCGAAGGCGAGCACGGGACGGUAUCUACCGGCGAGGAAGAGGAUAAGGAGGCGUCGGGACCCCUUGCUCGCUGGGAAGCCCUGGCGGCAUCCGCUGCUCUCCGGGAGGCGGCGGCGGCGGCGGCGGCAUCUCGCCGGGAGGCGGGGAGGGGCUUCUUUUUCGGCGGGGGGAGAGCAGGAGGUGGCUCGAGCGGCGGGGCCGUUUCGAGCAGGGCUGAGCACCUGAUCCUCGUCCCUCCGCCGGGAGCGGCGGGUCUGAUCCACCGCGCCGAUCACCUGUCCGACUCCUGGAGGACGGACCCCAUCCUCGCCGGCCCUUCGACCGACCUGACGGUCGCGCUGCAGGCGUUCGCCGCCGCACCAGAUGAGAGAACAGCGGCCAGGCUCGAGCAGGCGGCUGCGGCGUUGGACAUUGUUGCAUCAAGCAACACGGAGGAUGGUGCUGUCGCCAAGCAGCUGGCCGCCGAAGCGGCGGCACUUGCGGCCGGCUGGCGGGGAGACGACCGGCAGCGGCAGGGGUCGAGCGCCUUCGAAACGGCGGCCGGUCGGCGGGAACCGGAGCUGCAGGCGCCAGCGUCCUAUUCCACUGAAACUUUGUUGUGCGCCGUGAUCUCUGGCUCAUUGGCCCUGCUUCCAUAUUUGCCCACCCAAGUCCCCAAGCGUUCCCGGAGUGUCUUUGCCGUUCUCUUUGGCAGCGUCUUCGUACUCGCUUCAGUCGGUGUGAUGCUCCUCGUCGCACACAAGAGGUUUGCCAACACUCUGGCGAGAAUCUCUUUUGGAACAUUUACAGUGUUGGUUAUCGCCUUUGUUGGGUUCGCCCUCGGAGGAAGGACAUACAGUUGA